This 442-nucleotide ribosomal RNA is filed under the name uncultured bacterium. RNAcentral's name for it is "bacterial SSU rRNA". It matches the Rfam family "Bacterial small subunit ribosomal RNA", at positions 958 to 1399 of the family's 1533-position model. The record is from RNAcentral.
AACGCGAAGAACCUUACCUGGGCUUGAACCGCACAGGACCAUCUUUGGAAACAGAGACUUCCCGCAAGGGGCUGCUAUAUAGGUGCUGCAUGGCUGUCGUCAGCUCGUGUCGUGAGAUGUUGGGUUAAGUCCCGCAACGAGCGCAACCCUUGUUACCAGUUGCUACCAUUUAGUUGAGCACUCUGGUGAGACCGCCUCGGAUAACGGGGAGGAAGGCGGGGAUGACGUCAAGUCCUCAUGGCCUUUAUGUCCAGGGCUACACACGUGCUACAAUGGCCGGUACAAACCGUUGCAAACCCGCGAGGGGGAGCUAAUCGGAAAAAGCCGGCCUCAGUUCGGAUUAGAGUCUGCAACUCGACUCUAUGAAGCUGGAAUCGCUAGUAAUCGCGGAUCAGAACGCCGCGGUGAAUACGUUCCCGGGCCUUGUACACACCGACUGUAC